UGAGGGAUCGUCUAACUGGCAGGACAACGGCCUUUGAAGUCGUGAAUCCAGGUUCAAACCCUGGUCUCUCAGCCA
RNAcentral lists this transfer RNA (75 nucleotides) under Acidithiobacillus ferridurans. RNAcentral describes it as "tRNA-Gln". It matches the Rfam family "tRNA". From Rfam's summary of the family: Transfer RNA (tRNA) molecules are approximately 80 nucleotides in length. Their secondary structure includes four short double-helical elements and three loops (D, anti-codon, and T loops). The record is from RNAcentral. Lineage: Bacteria; Pseudomonadati; Pseudomonadota; Acidithiobacillia; Acidithiobacillales; Acidithiobacillaceae. RNAcentral also lists the same sequence under 1 other name.